Molecule: unclassified non-coding RNA, 340 nt
Filed under: soil metagenome
Description: partial contains 5.8S ribosomal RNA, internal transcribed spacer 2, and large subunit ribosomal RNA
Rfam family: 5.8S ribosomal RNA (bases 1-120)
Source: RNAcentral
GAUGAAGAACGCAGCGAAAUGCGAUAAGUAGUGUGAAUUGCAGAAUUUAGUGAAUCAUCGAAUCUUUGAACGCACAUUGCGCCCUUUGGUAUUCCUUAGGGCAUGCCUGUUCGAGCGUCAUCUACACCCUCAAGCGCAGCUUGGUGAUGGGCGCCUGUCCCGCCCCCCACGGGGGCGCGGACUCGCCUCAAAUGCAUUGGCGGCCGGCGACCUGGCUUCGAGCGCAGCAGAAACGCGUACUCGGGGACCGGGCGCCCGCUCCCAGAAGCCAACCCACCCAGUUUGACCUCGGAUCAGGUAGGGAUACCCGCUGAACUUAAGCAUAUCAAUAAGCGGAGGA